This 482-nucleotide ribosomal RNA is filed under the name uncultured bacterium. RNAcentral describes it as "partial 16S ribosomal RNA". It matches the Rfam family "Bacterial small subunit ribosomal RNA", at positions 30 to 507 of the family's 1533-position model. The record is from RNAcentral.
AUUGAACGCUGGCGGCAUGCCUUACACAUGCAAGUCGAACGGGAACAGGUCUUCGGAUGCUGACGAGUGGCGAACGGGUGAGUAAUACAUCGGAACGUGCCCGAUCGUGGGGGAUAACGAGGCGAAAGCUUUGCUAAUACCGCAUACGAUCUACGGAUGAAAGCGGGGGAUCUUCGGACCUCGCGCGGACGGAGCGGCCGAUGGCAGAUUAGGUAGUUGGUGGGAUAAAAGCUUACCAAGCCGACGAUCUGUAGCUGGUCUGCGAGGAUGAUCAGCCACACUGGGACUGAGACACGGCCCAGACUCCUACGGGAGGCAGCAGUGGGGAAUUUUGGACAAUGGGCGAAAGCCUGAUCCAGCCAUGCCGCGUGCAGGAUGAAGGCCUUCGGGUUGUAAACUGCUUUUGUACGGAACGAAAAGCCUCUUUUUAAUAAAGAGGGGUCAUGACGGUACCGUAAGAAUAAGCACCGGCUAACUACGUG